Molecule: long non-coding RNA, 1820 nt
Organism: Bombyx mori (domestic silkworm)
Lineage: Eukaryota; Metazoa; Arthropoda; Insecta; Lepidoptera; Bombycidae
Exons: 4
Source: RefSeq, a predicted model, not a curated record
UUUUGUGUGCCACACAACAGCAGAUAUUUAGCAAUUUCGUUUGUCAAAUUUGCGACACCUUUUGUAUCUGGUGCUGAAUUGUUGCUAACUAUCUGCAAGUGUAAAAUUUGUGAAAUUAAAUUAUUUUAACGUGAUUUAGGUAUGUACUAUGGACAGAGCUCAAAUAAUAAAUGGGGCUUUGGAGUCUAAGGAAAUUAGGUCGGAUACAUACGAAUUAGUGCGUAUGCGUGUCUGUCUUCGUGAUCAAGCCUGACCCCUUAAUCUAUCGGAAAGUUUGUUCAGAACACAUUACAGAAUUUCGAAACAUCAAUAUUUACAAUUGUGCUCUGAAUUAAAGCCGUUAAUAACCUAGAUCAUCAAGACGAACAAGAAUAGAAAGUAAAAUGCAAGGUGUUAACAGCAUUGCAAAAUUUCAUACCAGAAACCUGUGGGAAUGAGCUUUUUGCAUUUUGAGUUAAACUGUAGCAAAUCCAAUGCCAUUAGGGAAGUGGCUAUGGCAUUAAACAAUCUUCCAGUUUUAUUGAAACAUUUAAAGUUUCUGCAAACAGUACAAUGGGUCACAAGUUAUUAUAAAUGGGCAAGUAAAACAUCAUGAGCUCUGUCUCAGUAACCUGACUACAAAGUAAUACUCAAUCUAAAAGUAUAUUUAAAACUGGGAAGGCCGUUAAUAUAUAGUACUAUAGUAAUGUUUAUUGUCAUACCAGGAACACUGUUGACCAUUGUGAGUAUUGAAGGCCAGUUGGAGAUGCUUGUUGGUACAUACAGUACUGCAUUAUGAUCAUCAUAUGAUGGCCAAGACCAUAAUUGUUAGCUUGUAUUGCAUAACAUGGCAAACACACAUGGGUUUCCAGUGCCCCAACUCUCUGACGAAGAUGCUGAAAUUGAUGUUUCUUAUCAAAUUCAUAACAUUGUAUUUUUUGGGAGAGAAGAGUAAACACAGCACUUAGCACCAUGUCAACAUUCAAGGGUGGUUCAAUUGGAUUGUGGAGAACAGACAUUAAAUUUAGUCCAACCUCUGUAUUCUAGUAAUUUUAUGUAGAUAUUUUUAAAACUGCUGUUCUUAAUUAUGUGAACUGAGAGGGCAAGAAUAGCCUAAUUAUUUCUGCCUAUAAUUUUUUAUUUGUGUUUAGUGGAAAUAUACAUAUUUCCUUAACAUUUUUGUGUUUAUAGUAAAGGAUGGAUUCAUAACAAUUUGAAAGCAAAAUUGUGAGGUUGUUUUAUUAAGACGAUGUUUUAAAUCUGUCAUGCUCAAUUUGUUCUGUAUCAUUUUAUCUUUAUGUUAACCCCGUUUGUAUGUUGUGUUGUUAUAUAUAUUAUUGUAUAUACUGCUGUUUUAAAUAAUAGAAUAGAAUGAAUAACAAAUCGACUAGUAAUUCAUAAUUCUUCUAGAUUUUGUUGGAUACUUACAUGAAUAUUACUUACAAAAUGAAAAACAUAAUUCAUAAUUUAGACAAAAUGUGGAUCAACCACCACUCAUUUUUGUUCAUUGUGAUAAUAAUAAUAAUAAUAAUAUAAAUAUAAAUAUUUAACUGGUCCCGUGAUAAGUUCGUAAAGAACUUGUGUUACAGGUACAAGAUAACGGAAAUAAAUGUAGGAUUUUUAUUAUACACAUACAUAUAUUUAAUAUACAUCCAUAACCCUGGAAAAGACAUUUAUAUUUAUCAUACAAAUAUCUUCCCUUGGCGGGAUUCGAACCCGCGACCCCCUUGUGUAGCGACCAUGUCACUUACCACUACACCAGACGGCCGUUAGAUAAGUUUGAUAAUUAUUAUUUUUGUGUAAUUUUGUUUUAUUUGAAUAAUAAUUCUUAAAUUAGGAAA